Molecule: ribosomal RNA, 494 nt
Filed under: Peptostreptococcus sp. canine oral taxon 033
Lineage: Bacteria; Bacillati; Bacillota; Clostridia; Peptostreptococcales; Peptostreptococcaceae
Description: bacterial SSU rRNA
Rfam family: Bacterial small subunit ribosomal RNA
Source: RNAcentral
GAGUUUGAUUAUGGCUCAGGAUGAACGCUGGCGGCGUGCCUAACACAUGCAAGUCGAGCGCGGUUGUGCUUAGUAUUGAGUGUUUUAUUGAUAUAAAACAUUGAAUUCUAUGCACAACUGAGCGGCGGACGGGUGAGUAACGCGUGGGUAACCUGCCCUAUACACAUGGAUAACAUACUGAAAAGUUUACUAAUACAUGAUAAAAUAGCUUUUCGGCAUCGAAGAAUUAUCAAAGUGUUAGCGGUAUAGGAUGGACCCGCGUCUGAUUAGCUAGUUGGUGAGAUAACUGCCCACCAAGGCGACGAUCAGUAGCCGACCUGAGAGGGUGAUCGGCCACAUUGGAACUGAGACACGGUCCAAACUCCUACGGGAGGCAGCAGUGGGGAAUAUUGCACAAUGGGCGCAAGCCUGAUGCAGCAACGCCGCGUGAACGAUGAAGGUCUUCGGAUCGUAAAGUUCUGUUGCAGGGGAAGAUAAUGACGUACCCUNGNGCC